CUGUUUUAUGCAGUGUCCACACAGAUUGCUUGGUCGAAAUGUAGAACGUAAAAAGACUUGGGUCUGUAGCUCAGGUGGUUAGAGCGCACCCCUGAUAAGGGUGAGGUCGGUGGUUCGAGUCCACUCAGACCCACCACUUUUUCUCCCAGAAAAAGUGGCGGUAUAGUCUUUUACAUCGUUGGGGUUAUAGCUCAGCUGGGAGAGCGCCUGCCUUGCACGCAGGAGGUCUGCGGUUCGAUCCCGCAUAGCUCCACCACUCUUUAAACGCACUUCUCUUGAAAGACAGAGAGUUCAGUGUUUUUAAAAAGUGGUUAUCUAACGAUGAUUACAUGUUCUUUAACAAUCUGGAAAGCUGACUAGUAAAUUCAAUCGAAAGAUUGAUUUUAAAAAAUGUUUUUAUCUUCGGAUAAAAACGAGUUCUCAAAACAACACACAUUCAAGUGUCUUGUAUCGAGUCCGGCGAAAAACCAAUGUUUAAAAGUUUCUUGAUCGGAUUAUUAAACGCAAACCUUGGUUAGUUGAACAUACAGGACCUCUUGGGGUUGUAU
This 548-nucleotide unclassified non-coding RNA is filed under the name Photobacterium phosphoreum. RNAcentral describes it as "16S-23S ribosomal RNA intergenic spacer". The stretch from base 60 to 133 matches the Rfam family "tRNA". Lineage: Bacteria; Pseudomonadati; Pseudomonadota; Gammaproteobacteria; Vibrionales; Vibrionaceae. The record is from RNAcentral.